AGAGUUUGAUCCUUGCUCAGGACGAACGCUGGCGGCGUGCCUAAUACAUGCAAGUCGAACGAACGGAGGAAGAGCUUGCUCUUCCAAAGUUAGUGGCGGACGGGUGAGUAACACGUGGGCAACCUGCCUGUAAGUUGGGGAUAACUCCGGGAAACCGGGGCUAAUACCGAAUGAUAAAGUGUGGCGCAUGCCACGCUUUUGAAAGAUGGUUUCGGCUAUCGCUUACAGAUGGGCCCGCGGUGCAUUAGCUAGUUGGUAGGGUAAUGGCCUACCAAGGCAACGAUGCAUAGCCGACCUGAGAGGGUGAUCGGCCACACUGGGACUGAUACACGGCCCAGACUCCUACGGGAGGCAGCAGUAGGGAAUCUUCCGCAAUGGACGAAAGUCUGACGGAGCAACGCCGCGUGUAUGAAGAAGGUUUUCGGAUCGUAAAGUACUGUUGUUAGAGAAGAACAAGGAUAAGAGUAACUGCUUGUCCCUUGACGGUAUCUAACCAGAAAGCCACGGCUAACUACAUGCGACAGCC
RNAcentral lists this ribosomal RNA (526 nucleotides) under Listeria monocytogenes. Its description in RNAcentral is "bacterial SSU rRNA". It matches the Rfam family "Bacterial small subunit ribosomal RNA", at positions 8 to 516 of the family's 1533-position model. Lineage: Bacteria; Bacillati; Bacillota; Bacilli; Caryophanales; Listeriaceae. The record is from RNAcentral.